This is a non-coding RNA of Saimiri boliviensis boliviensis (Bolivian squirrel monkey), 2477 nucleotides long. The record is from RefSeq and is a predicted model, not a curated record. Lineage: Eukaryota; Metazoa; Chordata; Mammalia; Primates; Cebidae.
ACACCCGGAAGUGAGUGCGGGCCAGCCGGCUCGCCCGGGGGCCAUGGCAGCUGCGACUUCUGCAGCCGAGGGGGUCCCGAUUAGGGGGCCUCCCGGGGAAGUGAUUCAUCUGAAUGUGGGAGGCAAGAGAUUCAGUACUUCUCGCCAGACGCUCACCUGGAUCCCAGACUCCUUCUUCUCCAGUCUUCUGAGCGGACGCAUCUCGACGCUGAAAGAUGAGACCGGAGCAAUCUUCAUCGACAGGGACCCUACAGUCUUUGCUCCCAUCCUCAACUUCCUGCGCACCAAAGAGUUGGACCCCAGGGGUGUCCACGGUUCCAGCCUCCUCCAUGAAGCCCAGUUCUAUGGGCUCACUCCUCUGGUUCGUCGCUUGCAGCUUCGAGAGGAGUUGGAUCGAUCUUCUUGCGGAAACGUCCUCUUCAAUGGUUACCUGCCCCCACCAGCGUUCCCGGUGAAGCGGCGGAAUCGGCACAGCCUACUGGGGCCUCAGCAGCUAGGAGGGCGCCCGGCCCCCGUCCGACGGAGCAACACGAUGCCCCCCAACCUUGGCAAUGCAGGGCUGCUGGGCAGAAUGCUGGAUGAGAAGGCGCCUCCCUCACCCUCAGGGCAACCUGAGGAGCCGGGGAUGGUGCGCCUGGUGUGUGGGCAUCAUAACUGGAUCGCCGUGGCCUAUACCCAGUUUCUAGUCUGCUACAGGCUGAAGGAAGCCUCUGGCUGGCAGCUGGUGUUUUCCAGUCCCCGCCUGGACUGGCCCAUCGAACGACUGGCACUCACAGCCCGGGUACCUGGCGGGGCUUUGGGUGAACAUGACAAGAUGGUGGCAGCGGCCACCUACAGUGAGAUCCUGCUGUGGGCUCUGCAGGUGGAAGGUGGUGGCUCCGAGAUAGGGGUCUUCCAUCUGGGGGUGCCUGUGGAAGCCUUGUUCUUCGUUGGGAACCAGCUCAUUGCUACAAGCCACACGGGGCGCAUCGGGGUGUGGAAUGCCGUCACCAAGCACUGGCAGGUCCAGGAGGUUCAGCCCAUCACCAGUUAUGACGCGGCAGGCUCCUUCCUCCUCCUGGGCUGCAACAAUGGCUCCAUCUACUACGUGGAUGUGCAGAAGUUCCCCUUGCGCAUGAAAGACAACGACCUCCUGGUCAGCGAGCUCUACCGGGACCCGGCAGAGGAUGGGGUCACCGCCCUCAGUGUCUACCUCACCCCCAAGACCAGUGACAGUGGGAACUGGAUUGAGAUCGCCUAUGGCACCAGCUCGGGGGGCGUGCGGGUCAUCGUGCAGCACCCAGAGACUGUGGGCUCGGGGCCUCAGCUCUUCCAGACCUUCACUGUGCACCGCAGCCCUGUCACCAAGAUCAUGCUGUCAGAGAAGCACCUCAUUUCAGUCUGUGCCGACAACAACCACGUGCGGACGUGGUCUGUGACUCGCUUCCGAGGCAUGAUUUCCACCCAGCCCGGCUCCACCCCACUGGCUUCCUUCAAGAUCUUGGCGCUAGAGUCGGCCGACGGGCAUGGUGGCUGCAGUGCCGGCAACGACAUUGGCCCCUACGGCGAGCGGGAUGACCAGCAAGUGUUCAUCCAGAAGGUGGUGCCCAGCGCCAGCCAGCUCUUCGUGCGUCUCUCUUCUACUGGGCAGCGGGUGUGCUCCGUGCGCUCCGUGGAUGGCUCACCCACGACGGCCUUCACGGUGCUGGAGUGCGAGGGCUCCCGGCGGCUCGGCUCUCGGCCCCGGCGCUACCUGCUCACUGGCCAGGCCAAUGGCAGCUUGGCCAUGUGGGACUUAACCACCGCCAUGGAUGGCCUUGGCCAGGCCCCUGCAGGUGGCCUGACAGAGCAAGAGCUGAUGGAACAGCUGGAACACUGUGAGCUGGCCCCACCAGCUCCCUCGUGGGGCUCUCUCCCCAGCCCCUCACCCCGAAUCUCCCUCACCAGCCUCCACUCAGCCUCCAGCAACACCUCCUUGUCCGGCCACCGUGGGAGCCCGAGCCCCCCGAAGGCUGAGGCCCGGCGCCGUGGGGGAGGCAGCUUUGUGGAACGCUGCCAGGAACUGGUGCGGAGUGGGCCGGAGCUCCGACGGCCACCCACGCCAGCCCCGUGGCCCUCUGCUGGUCUCGGCACUCCCCUCAUGCCUCCCAAGAUGAAGCUCAACGAAACUUCCUUUUGAACCACACAGCUGCCAUGAUACCUUGGGAUGCCCUGGUCCUGGGGUACUCAGCAACAGCAAAAAUCACAGGACUGAUUCUCAUUGGCUUGAAUUGAGUCAGGUGGCCAUUCCUGAACCAAUUACUGUGGCCAGAGUGAUGAAGGACUUCCAUUAUCCCAGCCUGGAUCACGUGUCCUCAAGCCUGAAGGUGAGGUCAGCCCCACGUGGGUAGAGUGGAGGAGGAGUGCAUGGAGGGAAGAACAAGCAGAAAAGAGUGGCAGAUGUAAGUGGAUUGGUUACUGCAUCCUUAACAUUUGUACUCCAUACCUCGAUGCGGCAA